UACGGAGGAUCCAAGCGUUAUCCGGAGUCAUUGGGUUUAAAGGGUCCGUAGGCGGUUUGGUAAGUCAGUGGUGAAAGCCCAUCGCUCAACGGUGGAACGGCCAUUGAUACUGCCAGACUUGAAUUAUUAGGAAGUAACUAGAAUAUGUAGUGUAGCGGUGAAAUGCUUAGAGAUUACAUGGAAUACCAAUUGCGAAGGCAGGUUACUACUAAUGGAUUGACGCUGAUGGACGAAAGCGUGGGUAGCGAACAGG
This 253-nucleotide ribosomal RNA is filed under the name uncultured bacterium. RNAcentral describes it as "partial 16S ribosomal RNA". It matches the Rfam family "Bacterial small subunit ribosomal RNA", at positions 524 to 776 of the family's 1533-position model. The record is from RNAcentral.